AUUGAACGCUGGCGGCAGGCCUAACACAUGCAAGUCGAGCGGAUGAAGGGAGCUUGCUCCUGGAUUCAGCGGCGGACGGGUGAGUAAUGCCUAGGAAUCUGCCUGGUAGUGGGGGAUAACGUCCGGAAACGGGCGCUAAUACCGCAUACGUCCUGAGGGAGAAAGUGGGGGAUCUUCGGACCUCACGCUAUCAGAUGAGCCUAGGUCGGAUUAGCUAGUUGGUGGGGUAAAGGCCUACCAAGGCGACGAUCCGUAACUGGUCUGAGAGGAUGAUCAGUCACACUGGAACUGAGACACGGUCCAGACUCCUACGGGAGGCAGCAGUGGGGAAUAUUGGACAAUGGGCGAAAGCCUGAUCCAGCCAUGCCGCGUGCGUGAAGAAGGUCUUCGGACUGUAAAGCACUUUAAGUUGGGAGGAAGGGCAGUAAGUUAAUACCUUGCUGUUUUGACGUUACCAACAGAAUAAGCACCGGCUAACUUCGUG
RNAcentral lists this ribosomal RNA (484 nucleotides) under uncultured bacterium. Its description in RNAcentral is "partial 16S ribosomal RNA". It matches the Rfam family "Bacterial small subunit ribosomal RNA", at positions 30 to 507 of the family's 1533-position model. The record is from RNAcentral.